Molecule: long non-coding RNA, 1500 nt
Organism: Schistocerca cancellata (South American locust)
Lineage: Eukaryota; Metazoa; Arthropoda; Insecta; Orthoptera; Acrididae
Exons: 4
Source: RefSeq, a predicted model, not a curated record
ACGUCCACAGAAUGCCUCUUUCCUCGUGAGCAAUUGCAAUUGCACGGGAAUGAAGGGGCAUGCACAAAAAUUUGUGGAUAGAACGCGCAUUGGUAUUCCCGUGUCUACAUGUUGCCUGAUUGCGCAAGCAGUCUGCCAUGGAUCCCACAGUUUGUUAGGGUGCUUGUGCUGCGUUUAUUGUGAUGAAAAGACGACAAGAAGGAAACACAAAGGCGACUAUAGAAAUGGUUCAACCUGACAUUCUACAGUGAAUAAUGGUCUUACAACAACAGCUAUCCAGCACUUAUGAGUUGUUGCUGGAAUGGAUGUCCACUCUUGAACCACAAUAGGAAACCACCCAAGAAAACUUUAAGAUCUUGCCACCAUCAUUUCUACCUUCCAACCAGAAUAGAGAAGCCUCGCCAAAUUAUAUUUCCCGACUGAAGGAACUUUCCAUCACGCACUGAUUAUCAGGCUCACAUGACUUCGUUGCAGCCAGCUAUCUUGGGGGCCUGCAGUUGCAGCCGGCAGCCAUCCCUGACUUCAUUUUCAGCAGCUGAACCCAACUGCAGCCAUCAACGAUGCCCAGAUGGAAAUGGACAUCCCUCCUCAUCCUACUCAGAAAGAGACAGAAGCUGAUGAGGCAAAUAGCUUGUCUGAUACCACCCGCCCCCCCCCCCCCCCCCCCACACACACACACACACUGAGGUUUUGGGUACAGUUUUCCCUGGUACCACAGGCAAAUGUAAUGGGGGAUCAAUGCAUGUGCACCUAUCAGAAAUGAUGUUGGCAAGCAUGGAAGCAAAGGCAUCCCAUGCCAAUGGAGGGAUGCUGUAUCUACUCUCAGAUAUGGUACACAAAGAUAUCCACACAGGCUGCAUAACUCUAGGCUAGCCUCCAGUGUGGCAUCUCACAUUUGUAAUGAGUCAAUGAGUUGCCACAUAUGUUGUGCACGUGACAGGAACCUUAUUACCCUUCCACCACUAGCCUGCUCUGUCUGCCGAUAGUUAGGUCUGAUGUCAUAGAUGACACCUGCCAAGUAGUUAGCAGAUGAACAUUCCUGUGCCGCUGCACAGCUUCACUUGUCAGUUGCCGAACAGUUCCGGGUGCAGUUAUUGAGUCACCAGCAGUUACCUACAAGUACUGUCAUGCUGCCGCAAUAAUCGCUGAGUGUAAUUGCAGCGGUUUGCUUCCUACUACCUUUGUGUUGGACAGGAGACUUAUUUGGCGAAUAAAACAUUUGCUAAAACCUGUCAGCUGUUGCUGCAUACAACUGGACUUCAAGGCUAGCAAGGAAAAUUGGAGGCAAAGUAUUCUGCCUAUAAUCAAUUUUAAAAGGUGCUGUAAUAAAUGAGUCAUAAUAUGCAAAGGGGAGGACGCAGAGCAGAGAGAAAUAGAAACUUUGGUACUCAUAGCCAGACCACCAUCCUGACUGUGAAACUUUGAAUUAAAUGUAAAAAAAACAGUGAAAAAUUCAGGACGGAAUGUAUCAAUGUUAUGAAAAGUACAGCUGUUACUCAC